This 487-nucleotide ribosomal RNA is filed under the name uncultured bacterium. RNAcentral's name for it is "partial 16S ribosomal RNA". It matches the Rfam family "Bacterial small subunit ribosomal RNA", at positions 28 to 505 of the family's 1533-position model. The record is from RNAcentral.
GAUGAACGCUAGCGGCAGGCUUAAUACAUGCAAGUCGUGGGGCAGCAGGACUGUAGCAAUACAGUUGCUGGUGACCGGCAAACGGGUGCGGAACACGUACGCAACUUACCCUGAACUGGGGGAUAGCCCGGGGAAACCCGGAUUAAUACCCCGUAAUAUAAUGGAGUGGCAUCACUUUAUUAUUAAAGCUCCGGCGGUUCGGGAUGGGCGUGCGGCGGAUUAGGUAGUUGGUUGAGGUAACGGCUCACCAAGCCUACGAUCAGUAACUGGUGUGAGAGCACGACCAGUAAAACGGACACUGAACCAGGGGCCGGACUCCACCGGGAGGCAGAAGUAAGGGAUAUUGGGCAAUGGAGGCAACUCUAACCCAGCCAUGCCGCGUGAAGGAUGAAGGCCCUUUGGUUUGUAAACUUUUUUUAUAGGGGACGAAACCUGUUUAUUCUUACGCAGUUGACGGUACCCUAGGAAUAAGCACCGGCUAACUCCG